ACUCCUCCAUCCGCCUGUUCUCUGUGCCAGCUGCAUCUGAAACGACACUCGCUGUCGGAGGUGGCUUUCCCUCCACAGGGAGGGCAUUCCCACCGCCGUGGGGGUUUGGCCGUGACUUUUGAAGGAUAUUUUUAUGCAGAAUGUGGUAUUUGAGAAGGAGUGGGCCAAGAAAUGUGAGCCACUGUUCUUUUCAUUUUCUUCCAGGCUCAGCGGCACUUUCUGCCUUUGCAUAAAAGCCAGCACAAUCCUGCCCGAGGUGGUCCACGCCCUGGUGGCUGCGCUAAGUGCUCCCCACACACCGUGUUCAGUCCUUACAGCUGACCUGAGCCCCAGGUAUUAUUAUUAUUCUCCCCAUAUUCCAUGGGCAGAAAUUGAACCUCAAUGAGGUAAAUGGACAUUUCCGGGGCCCCCUGGCUUGGAAGUGGCAGGAGGAGGGCGUAGACCCCCAGUCCCAGCCACGUGCCACACCACCAGGACCAAGCCUCCAACUUCUCUCCACCUAGUCUGAUGCCUGGCACACUGUAGUCACUCCACAAAUGCCUGUUGAAUGAACUGAGUUAAAAACCCCCUUUUACAGAAUGUGUUGGAAAAACUGAGGCUUAGAAGUCAGAUGGGUAGAGGGUAGGGGAACACCAUCAACAGCCCCUGGUUGUCAUCACUUCUUGUCUCUGACUGUUGUGGGGCAGGAAGUUUCCUUACUCUACAGGUCUCCCCCAGGCUAUGAUACUUCUUCCUGAGCCCUACCCGGAAGCCCUUCCAGCUGCCCCCAUGGAAGACACACAUUCUGCUUAAAGCUCCUCCAGGAUGACAGGCUUGUGCUGAUUUCUGUCCUGUUGAAAGGCCAUGUGAAGAAGUGGAAAGAACCCAACCUCCCAGGGUCCUACAAACCUAGAGCUAAACCCAGCUUCCGGCCAUGAUUAGCUGUGUAAACUUGAGCAAGUUAUUUUUAUCUCAACUUCUCUGUGUGUAAAAAGAUGGUGACCAUACCUCCUGAAGAGAGCUGACGUGGGUUUAGAGACAGAGAGAGGAGGCGAGCAGCAUGGAGUACCCAGCCGGUGCUCAAGGAGACGCUGUUCUCCAGGAACCUCUGCUAGGCUUGGGGCUGUGUCACGUGAUUUUCACAUGAAGGGAUUAGAACUGGGCUGGGGCCUCUGUGAUCUCUGACCAUGAGGAUAGUUGGAUCCAUAUCUUCUGGGCAAUGUGACAGAAGGGCCCCCUCCCCACACACAGCUCUGUAAGGUGCCUUUUACUCUGCUGGUUUGCCCAGGGCAUGAUUUACUUGGGCAAUCCCACCAGAAUUCAACAAUGAAUCAUAUAUGAUUCCUGUCUGUUUCUUUUGUAUUGAUCCCCCUUUCUGCCCUCAGGUUGCUGAAAGACUAUAAAAGAGACAUUUUUUCGCCCUCUGUUUUGGGACCAAGACUACACAGCAAAGGGCUUAGUGUGAUUCAGUGCUACCAAUGCAACCCAUGCAAACUCAACCUAACCUAACCCACCCAGCCCAACCCUCCCCACCUCAAACCAACUUAACCCAACCCAACCUAAUCCAACCCAGCCCUACCCAACUCAAACCAACUCAACUCUAGCCAACCCAACCCAACUCACCUCAACUUAAACCAAGUCAAUUCAGCUCAACCCAACCCACUCCAACCAACCCACCCAAAUCAAGCCAACCCAAUUCUAGCCAGCCCAACCCAACUCACCUCAACUCAAACUAACUCAACUCAGCCCAACCCAGCUCAAUGGCAACAGUUGUUCAAUGGAAAGCACAUGGGAUUUGGAGUUAAAUAGACCUAAGUUGAAAUCUCAGCUUUUCCAGUUACAGGCUAUGUGACCUUGGCCAAGUCACUUCACUUCUGAGUCUGCUUCCUCAUCUUAAAACAGAGGGGAAAAUCUUGUAUUUGCCAGUAUAGAAGAUUCAUUUUCUGUUUCUCAGAUGCCUCCUUGUGUGACACCAUCAAGUCCACCAUAAACCAAUGGAUGGAAUAACUCUCAGCAACUUGUCCCUUUCCUCCCCUGCUCCCCUUGGGUAAGAAACUGUGCAAGCUUCAAGAACAGCAGAAAGAAGAGGCAUCUCCAAACCAGUCUUCCUGGCUACUUGGCAGUUCUCCAAGAAGACUUGGCUAGUCUGGGGUAGUAGAUAAUAUCUUUCAGAAAAGCUUCCUGGUAAAAUUGAGUGACUUAUAUACUAGCUAAUCUUUAGACUGCAAAUACAGUAAUUUCUAGGCAUUGUAGUGAGGAUGGAUAGUAAUACGUGGCACUCACACUAAAUACUGAGAAAUCACUGCAGUCACCACUGCUACUGUUACCACCAUUGAGAUAGUAGAAUAGAAGCUUUCUUCACCUGUCUUCACAUCACUGAGCCACUAACCAGUGCUCUCCCCUGCCACUGUAAACAUUCUGUGGCCGCCCACAGUGCUCUGAAAGUUGGAGGCUGGUCAGUGACACCUCAGUGAGCUCUCCCACAUCUGCCUUCAUUCAAUGAGUCAUUUGAUUAACAAGAGUCUGUGGAUUGUUCCCAUGCCUUCUAAUGCCAGUUAUAUUUGUAACUUUAAUUUCAAAAUUCAACUGAAUUACUUACUAUAUAAACUAAAAAACUAUGAGUGUGAAAGCAAGAGAAUAGUUGCUUCUGUGAAAAAUAAGUCAAAUGCUGUGGAAUGACUUGAAAAAUAUGAGUUCCUAAAAAAUAUGCUGAACAAUGCAGUGAGGAAGAAACUACUGUAAAGAUGAAAAAAUACACAAACAAUGAAGGAUUCUGCAUUCAGAUAUCUUUGGAUUUCUCAGCCAAGCAUCAAUGAAUCUUGAAUCUCAGCUGAUGACACUCCUGGGCAAAAUGGCUAUGAAACUGGAAAGAUGUCUAUGAAACACACAGUCCCUCAAGCCAGAAAAUGCACUUGACACAUCUGUGUCCCUUGAGGAACCUGAAGUUUUGGUGAAUCCAGAAAGCCAUGGAUGGCAGAACUGACCACAGAAAAAGAAACAGAGGCUCAGAAAGGUGAAGCCAAUUGCCUGAAGCCACACAGAAUAUCAGCUGGAGUCAGGAUUCUAACACCAUCCCAUGUAGCUGAUGCUAUCUACUGCCAGCCUGGAGCCAGGCUAAGAGGAAGAGAAAGAAGAAAAUGCCUGCAGAAACAUUCUAUGUAAAGAACACUUUGGGAUCAGAAAAAGAAGCGCGCCCGUGUUUCACUUGCAGCCUCACCCUGCACUAGGUAACCCUCCUUCCUCCACUGCACAAUCACUUAGAAACUGUAACUCUUCUUGGGCCCAGGUGCACAGGUAAAUUCGGAUCUUUCCCAAGGGAUCUCUGGGGCCUCGGGUCACAGCAGACCAGAACUUGACCUGGAGGCUGGUGUCCCCCAAACUGCUGUAUGGACCCUGCAACAGCUGGGGAGUCCUCGUCUCAACAGCCCUGCUGUCUCCCACUGAGGUCAUCUGCUGGCCCUCCUGGUGGCCCUGUGAGGAAGCCAGGAGUCACUGAUGCUGCUCUAUCGACGGCGACAGAUGGAUCACAGCUGAUAAGUGACUUGCCCAGAGUUUUGCAGCUUGGAACUCACAGAGCAGAAGCUGGGAAUCAGGUGGGGAAGCACCCAGCUCUCUGCUUCUCCUAAGCCAAGCUCUGCAGCGAGGUCCUGCUUCCCUCGGGACUCCUCUUUCAGCAUGACAUGAACUCAUUUUGAAUGUAAAGGCAAUGUCAAAGCCCUACAGCUAUUUAUACCAGAGCAUGUGUUUAUUAGCUCACUCUCCAGGGGGAAUAUUGCUGUUGUGAAUACACAACUACUCAUAACUACCGUCUUAAAAAUCUUCUCUACCCCAAAAUAUUUACUAAUGUAUUUAAGUAUUUAUUUUCUUGUAGUGAAAGGAAAUCAAGAUAAUUCUAAAAUUGUGGAAGAAAACAAAAAAAGUAUAAAGGAGAAAACAGAAGCUUCACAUAUUCUAACCAUUAUUAAUCUCAAAAUAUUUUAUUCCAGGUCCUUGUCUAUGGUCCAGGUCCUUGUCUAUGGUCCUAUAGCCUAUGCUGAGUGACACUGUGCUAUGUGUAUGCCAUUUGCACUCACCGUGGGGUCAUAAGCGUGCCAUUUCCUUUUUAUUAAAAAAAUACUUUGCAUACAUGAAAGUAUGUUUGCAUUAAAACUAUGCAAACAUCAGUUUUAAUAACUGUAUAAAUAUUCCAUCACAAGGACAUUCCAUAAUUUAUUUAAUCACUUUGGUAGUGUUGGACAUUUAAUUUUUUAAAAAGUCAAAUAAUGCCAGGAUUAAUGCCUGUUUAUAUGAACCAGUUUUCAUUUCCUGAUUAUUUUCUUCGGCCAGAUCCCCAAAAGUGGAAUUACUGAUAAAAGUAGGUGAGUGUUUUUAACACAUUUCUUCUUAUACACACACACACACACACACACACACACACACACCCAUCAACAAAUAGUUUUUCCUGGAAGGAACUUCCAGUAGUGUAUGAGAAAGCCUAUUGCACCACACCAUCCCCAGCAAUGAGAAUUACUACUGUAAAAAAAUCUUUGUUACAUUAAAUUUUUGGAGGACAUCUCA
Molecule: long non-coding RNA, 4536 nt
Organism: Homo sapiens (human)
Lineage: Eukaryota; Metazoa; Chordata; Mammalia; Primates; Hominidae
Exons: 6
Source: RefSeq, a predicted model, not a curated record